UACGAAGGGGGCUAGCGUUGCUCGGAAUCACUGGGCGUAAAGGGUGCGUAGGCGGGUCUUUAAGUCAGGGGUGAAAUCCUGGAGCUCAACUCCAGAACUGCCUUUGAUACUGAGGAUCUUGAGUUCGGGAGAGGUGAGUGGAACUGCGAGUGUAGAGGUGAAAAUCGUAGAUAUUCGCAAGAACACCAGUGGCGAAGGCGGCUCACUGGCCCGAUACUGACGCUGAGGCACGAAAGCGUGGGGAGCGAACAGG
Molecule: ribosomal RNA, 253 nt
Filed under: uncultured bacterium
Lineage: Bacteria
Description: partial 16S ribosomal RNA
Rfam family: Bacterial small subunit ribosomal RNA
Source: RNAcentral